Molecule: long non-coding RNA, 397 nt
Filed under: Citrus sinensis (sweet orange)
Lineage: Eukaryota; Viridiplantae; Streptophyta; Magnoliopsida; Sapindales; Rutaceae
Description: long non-coding RNA (CSIN_LNC003865)
Source: RNAcentral
UGGAGAGAAGGCUAUGACAAACCUCAGAAGAACUCUAUAUACAGGUAUCCACUGCUAGUUAUUACCAUCUUCUUUUUAUUGGUCUCGAUACAUGACAGCUUUAGGCUGAUAAUAUUUUGUCAUAUGCAUAUGGUCUCAUCAGAAACUGCAAAAGAACACAUUAACAGAUGCAAUUCAUAAAAAUGUUCCAGGUGUCCUGCGUAAUGAAAUAGCUUGGUUUGAGAAACCUCAGAAUGAUGCUGGUUCACUUACUUCGCGGAUUGUAAGUGAUACCUCCAUGGUCAAAGCCAUAAUUUCUGAUCGUAUGUCUGUAAUCGUGCAAUGCAUCUCCUCAAUACUGAUUGCAACAAUAGUAAGCUUAGUUGUCGAUUGGAGAAUGGCUCUGGUAGCUUGGGCU